Molecule: long non-coding RNA, 486 nt
Organism: Lotus japonicus
Lineage: Eukaryota; Viridiplantae; Streptophyta; Magnoliopsida; Fabales; Fabaceae
Exons: 2
Source: RefSeq, a predicted model, not a curated record
AUUAUAAAAGGCUAAUCUCAGCCCACCAUGCCAACUUUACCCACCAAAAAAAGCCUACCAUGCCAACAAACAAAAACAUAGGUUGCCCUCUCGGCCUCUCCCACGCCGUUCACUCGUCCGCUCCCGUCGCCGUUCGAGUUGAUAUCAUGUUCAGCUUCAACCCAGCUCGCCGGCGCCGAUUUCCGUCGUUGUCGUGUGAGGGGAAAAAAUUCGUGGUUCAACAUAAGGCGGCGAAGUAGGUGUUCUCAUGUGGAUUUGGCUUUGUCUUUAUUUCCAGUGGCUGCUGACUGACAUUCUUAAUAAAUUGGCAGGUUUUAAAUAGAUGCUCUAAUUUGUAUUAUGAGGGUUGGAGCUUAUAGUGAAAGAGAUAGCUCAAUUUAUUCCAAUUUUCUUUAUCGAUUUGCUGUGUUAUAUUCCAUCCAAAUCAUUUUAGUGUUUAAGAUUGUGACACGUAAACUAAUUAAUAUUAGAUCCUUAUUUUUUCAA